UACGGGGGGGGCAAGCGUUGUUCGGAAUUACUGGGCGUAAAGGGCUCGUAGGCGCCAACUAAGUCAGACGUGAAAUCCCUCAGCUUAACUGGGGAACUGCGUCUGAUACUGGAUGGCUUGGAUUUGGGAGAGGGAUGCGGAAUUCCAGGUGUAGCGGUGAAAUGCGUAGAUAUCUGGAGGAACACCGGUGGCGAAGGCGGCAUCCUGGACCAAUAUUGACGCUGAGGAGCGAAAGCCAGGGGAGCAAACGGG
Molecule: ribosomal RNA, 252 nt
Filed under: uncultured bacterium
Lineage: Bacteria
Description: partial 16S ribosomal RNA
Rfam family: Bacterial small subunit ribosomal RNA
Source: RNAcentral